ACAAACUUGGUCAUUUAGAGGAAGUAAAAGUCGUAACAAGGUUUCCGUAGGUGAACCUGCGGAAGGAUCAUUAUCGUGGAGCUUCGGCUCCUUCGAGGGAGAACCCUUGCCUUUUCGAGCACCUGUUUGUUUCCUCGGCAGGCCCGCCUGCCAAUGGGGGACCCCUUAAACUCUUGCAAUAACCUGUACAAAAUCGUCUGAACAAAAAAAAAUCUAAAUCAAAACUUUCAACAACGGAUCUCUUGGUUCUGGCAUCGAUGAAGAACGCAGC
RNAcentral lists this unclassified non-coding RNA (271 nucleotides) under uncultured fungus. Its description in RNAcentral is "partial contains small subunit ribosomal RNA, internal transcribed spacer 1, and 5.8S ribosomal RNA". The stretch from base 1 to 73 matches the Rfam family "Eukaryotic small subunit ribosomal RNA", at positions 1759 to 1831 of the family's 1831-position model. Lineage: Eukaryota; Fungi. The record is from RNAcentral.